RNAcentral lists this long non-coding RNA (365 nucleotides) under Linum usitatissimum (flax). RNAcentral describes it as "long non-coding RNA (LUSI_LNC001294)". The record is from RNAcentral. Lineage: Eukaryota; Viridiplantae; Streptophyta; Magnoliopsida; Malpighiales; Linaceae.
CAGGAUACAAUAAUGCCUUGAUCCAUGUCUUGGUGCCGAUAGGUUGUGAAAAGUAGUAGAUAACAGCAACUAAGAUUAUAGCUGCAAUAAAUAAGCAAAGAGUGAGCUUGUUAGAUCAGUGGACUGAUACACUGUGAUGGCAAUAAAGUAAGAAGUAUCCAUAAGCUAUUAAUAAGCUCUAUGUUUCAUCCCGUUCAGGUUUCAUAGUCUUAGACAGCAAAACACAAAACAAGCAGAAAUAAGGGCAUUUCAAGUUAUAUUACCAGACAGUUAUAUCAAAAGAGAUAUCCCUGAGAUCAAAUAAGCAAAUUGAUGAACUGAAGAAGCAAACCUUGGAUGAGGAGAAACGCAUAUUCUCCAUAAGC